RNAcentral lists this non-coding RNA (22 nucleotides) under Arabidopsis thaliana (thale cress). Lineage: Eukaryota; Viridiplantae; Streptophyta; Magnoliopsida; Brassicales; Brassicaceae. The record is from RNAcentral.
GAUAAUAUUUAUUCUGGUUUGC